CGGGGGGAGCAAGCGUUGUUCGGAUUUACUGGGCGUAAAGGGCGCGUAGGCGGCCACCGCAAGUCGACUGUGAAAUCUCCGGGCUUAACCCGGAAAGGUCAGCCGAUACUGCGGGGCUAGAGUGCAGAAGGGGCAACUGGAAUUCUCGGUGUAGCGGUGAAAUGCGUAGAUAUCGAGAGGAACACCUGCGGCGAAGGCGGGUUGCUGGGCUGACACUGACGCUGAGGCGCGAAAGCUAGGGGAGCGAACGGGAUUAGAUACCCCGGUAGUCCUAGCCUUAAACGAUGAAUGCUUGGUGUCUGGGGUUUUAUAGUCCCCGGGUGCCGUCGCUAACGCUUUAAGCAUUCCGCCUGGGGGAGUACGGUCGCAAGACUG
This 375-nucleotide ribosomal RNA is filed under the name uncultured organism. RNAcentral's name for it is "bacterial SSU rRNA". It matches the Rfam family "Bacterial small subunit ribosomal RNA", at positions 526 to 896 of the family's 1533-position model. The record is from RNAcentral.